UCAGGACGAACGCUGGCGGCGUGCCUAAUACAUGCAAGUCGUACGCUUCUUUUUCCACCGGAGCUUGCUCCACCGGAAAAAGAGGAGUGGCGAACGGGUGAGUAACACGUGGGUAACCUGCCCAUCAGAAGGGGAUAACACUUGGAAACAGGUGCUAAUACCGUAUAACAAUCGAAACCGCAUGGUUUUGAUUUGAAAGGCGCUUUCGGGUGUCGCUGAUGGAUGGACCCGCGGUGCAUUAGCUAGUUGGUGAGGUAACGGCUCACCAAGGCCACGAUGCAUAGCCGACCUGAGAGGGUGAUCGGCCACAUUGGGACUGAGACACGGCCCAAACUCCUACGGGAGGCAGCAGUAGGGAAUCUUCGGCAAUGGACGAAAGUCUGACCGAGCAACGCCGCGUGAGUGAAGAAGGUUUUCGGAUCGUAAAACUCUGUUGUUAGAGAAGAACAAGGAUGAGAGUAACUGUUCAUCCCUUGACGGUAUCUAACCAGAAAGCCACGGCUAACUACGUGCCAGCAGCCGCGGUAAUACGUAGGUGGCAAGCGUUGUCCGGAUUUAUUGGGCGUAAAGCGAGCGCAGGCGGUUUCUUAAGUCUGAUGUGAAAGCCCCCGGCUCAACCGGGGAGGGUCAUUGGAAACUGGGAGACUUGAGUGCAGAAGAGGAGAGUGGAAUUCCAUGUGUAGCGGUGAAAUGCGUAGAUAUAUGGAGGAA
This 711-nucleotide ribosomal RNA is filed under the name Enterococcus faecium. RNAcentral's name for it is "bacterial SSU rRNA". It matches the Rfam family "Bacterial small subunit ribosomal RNA", at positions 24 to 706 of the family's 1533-position model. Lineage: Bacteria; Bacillati; Bacillota; Bacilli; Lactobacillales; Enterococcaceae. The record is from RNAcentral.